Molecule: ribosomal RNA, 737 nt
Filed under: uncultured bacterium
Lineage: Bacteria
Description: bacterial SSU rRNA
Rfam family: Bacterial small subunit ribosomal RNA
Source: RNAcentral
GCUUCAAUUGCCGGCGACCGGCGCACGGGUGAGUAACGCGUAUCCAACCUUCCGUACACUCAGGGAUAGCCUUUCGAAAGAAAGAUUAAUACCUGAUGGUAUGAUGAGAUUGCAUGAUAGCAUCAUUAAAGAUUUAUCGGUGUACGAUGGGGAUGCGUUCCAUUAGGUAGUAGGCGGGGUAACGGCCCACCUAGCCAACGAUGGAUAGGGGUUCUGAGAGGAAGGUCCCCCACAUUGGAACUGAGACACGGUCCAAACUCCUACGGGAGGCAGCAGUGAGGAAUAUUGGUCAAUGGACGAGAGUCUGAACCAGCCAAGUAGCGUGAAGGAUGAAGGUCCUACGGAUUGUAAACUUCUUUUAUAAGGGAAUAAACCCUCCCACGUGUGGGAGCUUGUAUGUACCUUAUGAAUAAGCAUCGGCUAACUCCGUGCCAGCAGCCGCGGUAAUACGGAGGAUGCGAGCGUUAUCCGGAUUUAUUGGGUUUAAAGGGAGCGCAGACGGGUCGUUAAGUCAGCUGUGAAAGUUUGGGGCUCAACCUUAAAAUUGCAGUUGAUACUGGCGUCCUUGGGUGCGGUUGAGGUGUGCGGAAUUCGUGGUGUAGCGGUGAAAUGCUUAGAUAUCACGAAGAACUCCGAUUGCGAAGGCAGCACACUAAUCCGUAACUGACGUUCAUGCUCGAAAGUGUGGGUAUCAAACAGGAUUAGAUACCCUGGUAGUCCACACGGUAAACGAUGGA